AAAGGCUUAGUUAAAUCAUAACGCUAAUUUGUCAAGUUAUCAUUGCCUAAAAAGGUAGCCUUUA
This 64-nucleotide transfer RNA is filed under the name Dorcus hopei. RNAcentral describes it as "Dynodorcus curvidens hopei tRNA-Asp". Lineage: Eukaryota; Metazoa; Arthropoda; Insecta; Coleoptera; Lucanidae. The record is from RNAcentral.